ACGAACGCUGGCGGCGUGCUUAACACAUGCCAGUCGAACGAAGAGCGAUGGAAGCUUGCUUCUAUCAAUCUUAGUGGCGAACGGGUGAGUAACGCGUAAUCAACCUGCCCUUCAGAGGGGGACAACAGUUGGAAACGACUGCUAAUACCGCAUACGAUCUAACCUCGGCAUCGAGGAUAGAUGAAAGGUGGCCUCUACAUGUAAGCUAUCACUGAAGGAGGGGAUUGCGUCUGAUUAGCUAGUUGGAGGGGUAACGGCCCACCAAGGCGAUGAUCAGUAGCCGGUCUGAGAGGAUGAACGGCCACAUUGGGACUGAGACACGGCCCAGACUCCUACGGGAGGCAGCAGUGGGGAAUCUUCCGCAAUGGACGAAAGUCUGACGGAGCAACGCCGCGUGAGUGAUGACGGCCGUCGGGUUGUAAAGCUCUGUUAAUCGGGACGAAAGGCCUUCUUGCGAAUAGUGAGAAGGAUUGACGGUACCGGAAUAGAAAGCCACGGCUAACUACGUG
Molecule: ribosomal RNA, 509 nt
Filed under: uncultured bacterium
Lineage: Bacteria
Description: partial 16S ribosomal RNA
Rfam family: Bacterial small subunit ribosomal RNA
Source: RNAcentral